GACGAACGCUGGCGGCGUGCCUAAUACAUGCAAGUCGAGCGAAGUUUUUCUGGUGCUUGCACUAGAAAAACUUAGCGGCGAACGGGUGAGUAACACGUAAAGAACCUGCCUCAUAGACUGGGACAACUAUUGGAAACGAUAGCUAAUACCGGAUAACAGCAUUAACUGCAUGGUUGAUGUUUAAAAGUUGGUUUUGCUAACACUAUGAGAUGGCUUUGCGGUGCAUUAGCUAGUUGGUGGGGUAAAGGCCUACCAAGGCGACGAUGCAUAGCCGACCUGAGAGGGUGACCGGCCACACUGGGACUGAGACACGGCCCAGACUCCUACGGGAGGCAGCAGUAGGGAAUCUUCCGCAAUGGGCGAAAGCCUGACGGAGCAACGCCGCGUGAGUGAAGAAGGAUUUCGGUUCGUAAAGCUCUGUUGUUAGGGAAGAAUGAUUGUGUAGUAACUAUACACAGUAGAGACGGUACCUAACCAGAAAGCCACGGCUAACUACGUGCCAGCAGCCGCGGUAAUACGUAGGUGGCAAGCGUUGUCCGGAAUUAUUGGGCGUAAAGCGCGCGCAGGUGGUUUAAUAAGUCUGAUGUGAAAGCCCACGGCUCAACCGUGGAGGGUCAUUGGAAACUGUUAAACUUGAGUGCAGGAGAGAAAAGUGGAAUUCCUAGCGUAGCGGUGAAAUGCGUAGAGAUUAGGAGGAACACCAGUGGCGAAGGCGGCUUUUUGGCCUGUAACUGACACUGAGGCGCGAAAGCGUGGGGAGCAAACAGG
RNAcentral lists this ribosomal RNA (768 nucleotides) under uncultured bacterium. RNAcentral describes it as "bacterial SSU rRNA". It matches the Rfam family "Bacterial small subunit ribosomal RNA", at positions 28 to 776 of the family's 1533-position model. The record is from RNAcentral.